UGGGGAAUAUUGGGCAAUGGGGGAAACCCUGACCCAGCAACGCCGCGUGAAGGAAGAAGGCCUUCGGUUGUAACUUCUUUUAUCCAGGGAGCGAAGGACGUGACGGUACCUGGAGAAAAAGCAACGGCUAACUACGUGCCAGCAGCCGCGGUAAUACGUAGGUUGCGAGCGUUGUCCGGAUUUACUGGGUGUAAAGGGCGUGUAGGCGGAGAAGCAAGUUGGGAGUGAAAUCUAUGGGCUCAACCCAUAAACUGCUCUCAAAACUGUUUCCCUUGAGUAUCGGAGAGGCAAGCGGAAUUCCUAGUGUAGCGGUGAAAUGCGUAGAUAUUAGGAGGAACACCAGUGGCGAAGGCGGCUUGCUGGACGACAACUGACGCUGAGGCGCGAAAGCGUGGGGAGCAAACAGGAUUAGAUACCC
This 418-nucleotide ribosomal RNA is filed under the name uncultured bacterium. RNAcentral describes it as "bacterial SSU rRNA". It matches the Rfam family "Bacterial small subunit ribosomal RNA", at positions 355 to 787 of the family's 1533-position model. The record is from RNAcentral.